CCAGCCCCCCAUUCAAGAAGCCGCUCCGCUAUCCCCGCCAGCACAGGGCGCCCGGCGCGCCUCGGAGCGCACGUUCCGCGCCUUCUCCUGCCCGCUCCCUGGACAUUAUGCGGCCGAGCAGCCGAGCCCCAGUUCUCCUCCUCCUCCUCCUCCGGCUCCUCCUGCGGCCCGAGCGGCUCAGCUCUCGGCAGGCGGCGGCGUUGCUCAGCCGAGCGCAGACGGGACCCUCGCCGCGAGACCUCAGCGACUCCUAAAGUCAAAAGUUGGCGGCGGGCGCCGGGCUCCGAGCGCUCUCCGCGGCCGCUGCCUAGCGUCGCCGCCGCAGCCGCCAAGGAGGACAGGAGGGAGGGGGGAGUGGGGGCGGCGGGGGAGGGGUGGGGAGCACCAUGCAGUUUGUAUCCUGGGCCACACUGCUAACGCUCCUAGUGCGGGACCUGACCGAGACGGGGAGCCCAGACGCCGCGGCGGCCGUGCGCAGGGACAGGCUGCACCCGAGGCAAGUGAAACUAUUAGAGACUCUGAGCGAAUACGAAAUCGCGUCUCCCAUCCGAGUGAACGCUCUCGGAGAACCCUUUCCCACGAACGUACACUUCAAAAGAAGGCGACGGAGCCUUAACUCUGCCGCUGACCCCUGGCCUGCCUUCGCCUCCUCCUCUUCCUCCGCUACCUACACCCAAGCGCAUUACCGCCUCUCCGCCUUCGGCCAGCAAUUUCUAUUUAAUCUCACCGCCCAUGCCGGAUUUAUCGCUCCAAUGUUCACUGUCACCCUCCUCGGGGCACCCGGGGUGAACCAGACAAAGUUUUAUUCUGAGGAGGAAGCGGAACUCAAGCACUGUUUCUACAAAGGCCAUGUCAAUACCAAGUCCGAGCACACGGCCGUCAUCAGCCUCUGCUCAGGAAUGCUGGGCACAUUCCGGUCCCACGAUGGGGAUUAUUUUAUUGAACCACUGCUGUCCAUUGACGAGCAAGAAGGUGAAGAGGAACAAAACAAACCCCACGUUAUCUAUAGGCGCAGCACCCCUCACAGAGAGCCCUCAACAGGAAGGCGUGCGUGUGACACCUCAGAACACAAAAAUAGUCACAGUAAGGACAAGAGGAAAACGAGGACGAGAAAAUGGGGAGAGAGGAGUAGCCUGGCUGAUGACGUGGCAGUAUUAAGAAGCAGCCUAACCAAAAGGGCCCUUUCUGCCUAUGGUAACAAGACGGACAGCACAAGGGAAAAGAGGACCCACAGGAGAACAAAACGUUUUUUAUCCUAUCCACGGUUUGUAGAAGUGAUGGUGGUGGCAGACAACAGAAUGGUUUUAUACCACGGAGCAAACCUUCAACACUAUAUUUUAACUUUAAUGUCAAUUGUAGCCUCUAUCUAUAAAGACCCAAGUAUUGGAAAUUUAAUUAAUAUUGUAAUUGUGAACUUAGUUGUGAUUCAUAAUGAACAGGAAGGACCUUCCAUAUCUUUUAAUGCCCAGACAACAUUAAAAAACUUUUGCCAGUGGCAGCAUUCAAAGAACCAUCCAGGUGGAAUCCAGCAUGAUACAGCAGUUCUUGUAACGAGACAGGAUAUCUGCAGAGCUCAUGACAAAUGUGAUACCUUAGGUCUGGCUGAACUGGGAACCAUUUGUGAUCCCUACAGAAGCUGCUCUAUCAGUGAAGACAGUGGAUUGAGUACAGCUUUUACAAUAGCCCAUGAACUGGGCCAUGUGUUCAACAUGCCUCAUGAUGACAACAAUAAGUGCAAAGAAGAAGCAGUUAAGAGUCCCCAGCAUGUCAUGGCCCCAACACUGAACUUCUACACCAACCCCUGGAUGUGGUCAAAGUGUAGCCGAAAAUACAUCACUGAAUUUUUAGACACUGGUUACGGCGAGUGUCUGCUUAACGAACCUGAAUCCAGACCCUAUCCUUUGCCUCUCCAACUGCCAGGCCUCCUUUACAACGUGAAUAAACAAUGUGAAUUGAUUUUUGGACCAGGUUCUCAGGUGUGCCCGUAUAUGAUGCAGUGUAGACGGCUCUGGUGCAAUAACGUGGAUGGAGCACACAAAGGCUGCCGGACUCAGCACACGCCCUGGGCUGAUGGGACCGAGUGUGAGCCUGGAAAGCACUGCAAGUUUGGAUUUUGUGUUCCCAAAGAAAUGGAGGUCCCUGUGACUGAUGGAUCCUGGGGAAGUUGGAGUCACUUUGGAACCUGCUCAAGAACAUGUGGAGGGGGUAUCAAAACGGCUGUUCGAGAGUGCAACAGACCAGAGCCAAAAAAUGGAGGGAAGUACUGUGUAGGGCGCAGAAUGAAAUUUAAGUCCUGCAACACGGAGCCAUGUCCCAAGCAGAAGCGAGACUUCCGAGACGAGCAGUGUGCUCACUUUGAUGGAAAGCAUUUCAACAUCAAUGGUCUGCUUCCGAACGUGCGCUGGGUCCCGAAGUACAGUGGAAUUUUGAUGAAGGACCGCUGCAAGCUGUUCUGCAGGGUGGCGGGGAACACGGCCUACUAUCAGCUCCGUGACAGAGUGGUAGAUGGAACUCCAUGUGGCCAGGACACCAAUGACAUCUGUGUCCAAGGCCUUUGCCGGCAAGCUGGAUGCGAUCAUGUUUUAAACUCAAAAGCCCGGAGAGAUAAAUGUGGGGUUUGUGGUGGCGAUAAUUCUUCGUGCAAAACAGUGGCAGGAACAUUUAAUACAGUACAUUAUGGUUACAAUAUUGUGGUCCGAAUUCCAGCUGGUGCUACCAAUAUCGAUGUGCGGCAGCACAGUUUCUCAGGGAAAUCAGAGGAUGAUAACUACUUAGCUUUAUCAAGCAGUAAAGGUGAAUUCUUGCUAAAUGGAGACUUUGUUGUCACAAUGUCCAAAAGGGAAAUCCGGGUUGGGAAUGCCGUGAUAGAGUACAGCGGGUCCGACAACGUAGUGGAAAGAAUCAACUCCACAGAUCGCAUUGAACAAGAACUUUUGCUUCAGGUGUUGUCCGUGGGAAAGUUAUACAACCCCGAUGUGCGCUAUUCUUUCAACAUUCCAAUUGAAGACAAACCCCAGCAGUUUUACUGGAACAGUCAUGGACCCUGGCAAGCAUGCAGCAAACCCUGCCAAGGGGAGCGGAAACGAAAACCUGUUUGUACCAGGGAAUCUGAUCAGCUUACAGUUUCUGAUCAAAGAUGUGAUCGGCUGCCCCAGCCAGCACCCAUUACUGAACCCUGCGGCACAGACUGUGACCUGAGGUGGCAUGUGGCUAGCAGGAGUGAAUGUAGUGCCCAGUGUGGCUUGGGUUACCGCACAUUAGACAUCUACUGUGCCAGAUACAGCAGGCUAGAUGGGAAGACCGAGAAGGUUGAUGACAGUUUUUGCAGCAGUCACCCCAAACCAAGCAACCGGGAAAAAUGCUCAGGAGAAUGUAACACUGGUGGCUGGCGCUAUUCUGCUUGGACUGAAUGUUCUAAAAGCUGUGAUGGUGGAAGCCAGAGGAGAAGGGCUAUUUGUGUCAACACCCGUAAUGACGUACUUGAUGAUAGCAAAUGCACGCAUCAAGAGAAAGUCACCAUUCAGAAGUGCAACGAGUUCCCUUGUCCACAGUGGAAAUCAGGAGACUGGUCAGAGUGCUUGGUCACCUGCGGAAAAGGGCAUAAGCACCGCCAGGUCUGGUGUCAGUUUGGCGAAGAUCGAUUAAACGAUAGAAUCUGUGACUCUGAGACCAAGCCAGACUCCAUGCAGACCUGUCAGCAGCCAGAAUGUGCGUCCUGGCAGGCAGGUCCCUGGGGACAGUGCAGUGUCACUUGUGGACAGGGAUACCAGCUAAGAGCAGUGAAAUGCAUCAUUGGGACAUACAUGUCAGUGGUGGAUGACAAUGACUGCAAUGCAGCAACUAGACCAACUGAUACCCAGGACUGUGAAUUACCAUCUUGUCACCCUCCCCCCGCUGCCCCGGAAGCGAGGAGAAGCACACACAGUGCUCCAAGGACCCAGUGGCGAUUUGGGUCUUGGACGCCAUGCUCAGCCACUUGUGGAAAAGGUACCCGGAUGAGAUAUGUCAGCUGUCGGGACGAGGAUGGCUCUGUGGCUGACGAGAGUGCCUGUGCAACCCUCCCUAGACCAGUGGCAAAGGAGGAAUGUUCUGUGACCCCCUGUGGGCGGUGGAAGGCUCUGGACUGGAACCCGUGCUCCGUGACGUGUGGGCAAGGGAGGACCACCCGGCAAGUGGUCUGUGUCAACUACAGUGACCACGUGAUCGAUCAAAUCGAGUGUGACCCGGAUUAUAUCCCAGAAACCGACCAGGACUGUUCCAUGUCACCAUGCCCUCAGCGGACCCCAGACAGUGGCCUCGCUCAGCACCCUUUCCAAAACGAGGGUUAUCGCCCCAGGAGCGUCAGCCCUAGCCGCACCCACGUGCUCGGAGGAAACCAGUGGAGGACUGGCCCCUGGGGAGCAUGUUCCAGUACCUGUGCUGGUGGGUCCCAGCGGCGUGUUGUUGUGUGUCAGGAUGAAAAUGGAUACACCGCCAACGACUGCGUGGAAAGAAUCAAACCCGAUGAGCAGAGAUCCUGCGAAUCUGGCCCUUGCCCUCAGUGGGCUUAUGGCAGCUGGGGAGAGUGUACUAAGCUGUGCGGUGGAGGCUUGCGGACAAGACUGGUGGUCUGUCAGCGGCCCAGCGGGGAACGGUUUCUAGAUCUGAGCUGUGAAAUUCUUGACAAGCCGCCAGAUCGAGAGCAAUGUAACACACAUGCUUGUCCUCAAGACGCUGCAUGGAGUACUGGCCCUUGGAGUUCGUGUUCUGUCUCUUGUGGUCGAGGGCAUAAACAACGAAAUGUUUACUGCAUGGCAAAAGAUGGAAGUCAUUUAGAAAGUGAUUACUGUAAACACCUUGCUAAGCCAAAUGGGCACAGAAAGUGCCGAGGAGGAAGAUGCCCCAAGUGGAAGGCUGGCGCGUGGAGUCAGUGCUCAGUGUCCUGUGGCCAAGGCGUGCGGCGGAGAAAUGUGGGCUGUCAGCUGGGAACACACAAAAUAGCCGGAGAGACCGAGUGCAACCCAUACACUAGACCGGAGUCAGAGCGCGCCUGCCAAGCCCCGCUGUGUCCACUCUACGCUUGGAGGGCAGAUGAAUGGCAAGAAUGCACCAAGACUUGUGGGAAAGGCUCCAGGUACCGCAAGGUGGUGUGUGUGGGUGAGGACAAAGGUGACGAGGUUCACGGCAUGCACUGUGACAUGAGCACACGGCCUGUGGAUCGCGAGAGCUGUGGCCUGCAGCCCUGCGAGUAUGUCUGGAUCACAGGAGAAUGGUCAGAGUGCUCAGUGACCUGUGGAAAGGGCUACAAACAAAGGCUUGUCUCCUGUAGCGAGAUUUACACCGGGAAGGAGAAUUAUGAGUACAGCUAUCAAACCACCAUCAACUGCCCGGGCGCACAGCCACCCAGCGUCCAGCCCUGCUACCUGCGGGAGUGCCCUGUCUCUGCCACCUGGAGAGUUGGCAACUGGGGGAGCUGUUCCGUGUCCUGUGGCGUCGGAGUGAUGCAGAGAUCUGUGCAGUGUCUCACCAACGAGGACCAGCCCAGCCACUUAUGCCCUGAUGAGUUGAAGCCGGAAGAAAGAAAAACCUGCCACAAUAUCUAUAACUGCGAGUUGCCCCAGAACUGCAAGGAAGUAAAAAGGCUGAAAGGUGCCGGUGAAGAUGGGGAAUAUUUCCUGAUCGUCACGGGAAAGCUCCUGAAGGUCUUCUGUGCAGGGAUGCACUCUGACCGCCCCAAGGAGUACAUGACACUGGUCCACGGUGACUCUGAGAAUUUUUCUGAGGUUUACGGGCACAGGUUGCACAACCCAACCGAAUGUCCCUACAACGGGAGCCGACGUGAUGACUGUCAGUGUCGGAAAGACUACACGGCGGCUGGGUUUUCCAGCUUCCAGAAGAUCAGAAUAGACCUGACCACCAUGCAGAUCAUCACCACUGACUUACAGUUUGCCAGGACACGCGAAGGACAUCCCGUCCCUUUUGCCACCGCCGGGGACUGCUACAGCGCCGCCAAGUGCCCUCAGGGUCGUUUUAGCAUCAACCUUUACGGAACCGGCCUGUCUCUAACUGAAUCUGCCAGAUGGAUCUCCCAAGGGAAUUAUGCCGUCUCUGACAUUAAGAAGUCGCCGGAUGGUACCCGGGUCGUAGGGAAAUGCGGUGGUUACUGUGGAAAAUGUGCUCCAUCCUCUGGCACUGGCCUGGAGGUUCGAGUUUUAUAGUCACGAGACUGACGGUGUCCUGGGAAUUGAGAGCUUUCCAAAGAAAUCUAAUGAACAGCUAAUAGCCAGAUACAGACAAUCCAGUGAAGCACCCUGAAGUUUAGAGCAAGCUGUCCCAUAGAACUUUCUGGAAUGAUGGAAGUCUUGUAUUCUGCACCAGGACAGUAGCUUCUAGUCUUAUGUGGCUAUCGAGAACUGGAAAUGUGGCUCGUGCAACUGAGGAAGUGCAUUUUUGCUUUUCAUUUAAAUAGCACAUAUGACGAGUGACUUGCUGUAUUGGACAGUGUACUUCUGGAAGACGGCAGAUGCAGACGUUUGGAGAAUCCUAGGCCUGAAUGUCUGGGUGGAGACGAGCAUAGCCCCUCCCCCACCGCUGCCCCCACCCCUUCCCCUGGCCUUGGACAGUGACGUGAGCAAGAAAUUAACAGCUCUUUGGAUUGGUGUGUGAGAGUUACUGUUUUACCAGCUGGGCUGCCAUGACUGAUACAGACCCAUGUCUUAGCAGCCACCUUUAUGAAGAAAGGACAAUUCAGUCUACUCAUCCAUUUUACAAGCUCAAGGAAUGCCGGGGGCCUCUGCUGAGAUCUAGUUUUCAACCUAGUCUGUGGCAUUGAUUAUCCUGCUUAGAAGAUGAAAGAGGUGGCUUUGUGGGCCAGAGAGUAAGUAGUUUUACUUAGCGGCUUGGCCGUACUGACCCCAGCUAUAAGCUAAGUAGGAAGGUUCGGUUCUGUUCAAAACUAAGUUCCGAUCGUUUUUUACAACUGCUUUAAACUGUAUGUGUCCUGUUCACGACAGAGAAAGGGCCAUCUGGUUUGAUGAUUUUUUGGCUUGAAGAAGAGAAAACGAAAGACAAGUAUAAGCUUUAAUACUCAAGAGAUCCGAUUCUCUGCCGGAGAGGAAAUGAACUCCAUAUCCAGGAGAAUUCCACCAGGAAGGGGCCAAACAGACCGUGCUCUCUGGAGGAUUCUCAGCAGUGCCGUGAACACCAUUCUGACACUCCUUUCGGUCAUUUCCAAGGUGAGACAGUGACACACCGCUGGAGUAGGACAGCUGAUCUCACCUUCUCUGAUAUCAUCAGAAAGAGGAUCUAGGAAGCUUCCGUGCAACACCAGAAGGGCUAGGAUGGCAGGAGCCAUCUCAUCUGCUCUAUGUGCCUGCCCGUUUCUGGGAGAAGCACCUUGACACCUGUUUUACUGUAAGGAGAACCAACUUUGGAAUCAAACAGACCUCUACCAAAAUCUCAAGUCUGUCACUUACUAACUUGGACAAAUCAUGUCACUUCUGUGAACAUUGUUUUCUUUCAUUUAGGGAUAAUACUAAACUGACGUCACAGAGCUGCCGCAAGGAUAAAAUGAACCGGUGUCUAUGGCAGCAUUUAGGACAGGGCUUCAUACAGAAUCGGUGUCUUGGAGAACUGAGGGUUUGGAGCAUAGAAUUCCAGUCCUGGUGCAUCAAGGAAGGCCUUCAGGGUGGUCCUGUGGAUCAGGAUGUGGGCUUAUGUGUUAAUUAAAACACUGCUUCUCAAACUCCAAUGUGUACUCAUACCACUUGGGGAAUUUUGUUUAAAUGCAGUUUCUGAUUUAGCAGGAUAAUGUCAUGUAAGUGAGCUUCCAGGUAGUAAUUUCAAGGCUGCUGGUUGCUGACAUCACCUUUGAAGAACAAGGAAUCAGAGGUGUUUACCUACCCUGUGUUUCCCUCCUCUUUCACCCACGUAGAAGAGAUGUACUGUCUACUUUGAGUAGGGAGGCGGAGGGGGGGAGUGGAGGAUAAGGGCGAUGCAAAGUCGGCAGACAGAAGGGGAAUCUACGCGGAUGAGGAAAGAAAUCAUGGAAAAAGAGAUGGGUUUGAGGUUUUAAACCCUGACUGGACUUUAAACUCACCUGGAGAGCUUUAAAACUCCAUUUUCAAGUCACCCCAGGAAUACGUAUUUAAUUGACUGGGAUGGGGCCAGACGUGACAUAUUAAAGCAGAUGACCCCUCAGGCUGUCCCUGUGUGCAGCCAGCGUUGAGAACUGCUGGCCUAGACAACAGAGGCAACUUUCCCAGCUGGAAAGAAUCAGGAAAGUGUCUCAUCAAGAUAGUAGAUCAGGUUUGGUGUUAGGGGGCUGCUAGUUUAAGGGGAAAAAAGCCUCAUGAAAAUGGCAGGUAAGAGCAAGCCAACUGGUUGAUACCUUGAGAAAUCUGAUCCGUUUGAUGGGUCAAGAACACCCGAUCUCUGGGUCUCUGAAAUGAUAACUUAGCUCUGGGCCUUUGAAGAAAUGUGUUUUCCUGUGGAGAAGCCAACGGUAAAUGGGAGAUGUGAAAUCCAUGCCACUUUUUUUCCGGAAUCGGACGCUUUUUCUUUCAUGGACAUUGUGGAUUCGAUCGUCCUCUGUGUUCACAGAGGCUAAUGAAUGAUUCUCACUGGAGCACAGGAGCCACCUUGGCUGGUAGCCUUACCCAGGCCUCAAUCCAGUGGGUCUCCAUCAGGGUGCCCUGAGCCUGGCACAUGUGCUCCAAUGCACUCUGACCCAUGAACAUACUUAGUGCUGCUGUGGUUGAGUUUUGACUCUCGAGGCCCAGGUUUAGGCUGCCUUCUUGUCACCAGAAGUCAGCUCAGAGCUGGCUCUUUGCCAGCCUGGACACAAAGCCCAGCCGCCUUCCGGGAUCUAAGCCUGCCAAGUAUCUGCGAAUAUUGUGGUUUCAUGGCAGAUUCCUUAUGUCUUGGGGUGGGAACCACAUCAGACACCGUACAGCAUUUCCCUUGAACAAUCCCCGUUAGGUAUAUCUCUCCCAUUGAAGGCCUGUGCACACAGCCAAUAAGGAGACACUCCUCCAUCACAAACCCCUAGCCCCCUCCCAAUCGCUUACUCCUCUGGAGCAGAGGUGGCUCUGUCCUUUCUGCUCCACGCUUGGCUGCCUUUACCCA
Molecule: RNA transcript, 9105 nt
Organism: Orcinus orca (killer whale)
Lineage: Eukaryota; Metazoa; Chordata; Mammalia; Artiodactyla; Delphinidae
Gene: ADAMTS9
Gene name: ADAM metallopeptidase with thrombospondin type 1 motif 9
Exons: 41
Source: RefSeq, a predicted model, not a curated record